RNAcentral lists this ribosomal RNA (537 nucleotides) under Nitzschia sp. I4. Its description in RNAcentral is "eukaryotic LSU rRNA". It matches the Rfam family "Eukaryotic large subunit ribosomal RNA", at positions 43 to 651 of the family's 3401-position model. RNAcentral also lists the same sequence under 2 other names. Lineage: Eukaryota; Bacillariophyta; Bacillariophyceae; Bacillariales; Bacillariaceae. The record is from RNAcentral.
UAAUUAAGCGGAGGAAAAGAAACUAACCAGGAUUCCCUCAGUAAGGGCGACUGAAGCGGGAAGAGCUCAAGAUGUGAAUCAGCGCCUUUGAAGCGCCGAAUUGUGGUCUGUAGACAUUGGCAUUACUGGCCGGGCUAAGUCCCUUGGAACAGGGCAGCUUAGAGGGUGAGACUCCCGUUCGCCUGGCUAGAUGAGCCUUUUGUCAACGAGUCGAGUUGUUUGGGAUUGCAGCUCUAAGUGGGUGGUAAAUUCCAUCUAAAGCUAAAUAUUGGUGGGAGACCGAUAGCGUACAAGUACCGUGAGGGAAAGAUGCAAAGAACUUUGAAAAGAGAGUUAAAGAGUACCUGAAAUUGCUGAAAAGGAAGCGAAGGAAACCAGUGUGACCGGCAUCAUAUUUCCCUAUCCGCUUGCGGUUGGGGCGCUGUGUUGUGGUUGAGUUGUCCUUGGUUCGUAUGCCUGGAAGAGCGCAGUGAGAGUUGAUCUCUGUUGCUAGUAGGUGCAUGGACUGAGGAGGACGAAAUGGUUUUCUUUACCCCG